Molecule: ribosomal RNA, 227 nt
Filed under: uncultured bacterium
Lineage: Bacteria
Description: partial 16S ribosomal RNA
Rfam family: Bacterial small subunit ribosomal RNA
Source: RNAcentral
UGGGUGACCUGCCUCUAGGUGGGGGAUAACCCGGGGAAACUCGGGCUAAUACCGCAUAACAUCGUGAGAUCAAAGAGGGGCGCAAGCCUCUCGCCGAGAGAGGGGCCCGCGUCUGAUUAGCUAGUUGGUGAGGUAACGGCUCACCAAGGCGACGAUCAGUAGCCGGCCUGAGAGGGCGAUCGGCCACACUGGAACUGAGACACGGGCCAGACUCCUACGGGAGGCAG